Non-coding RNA from Stegodyphus mimosarum, 73 nucleotides. NCBI's taxonomy places the organism in Eukaryota, Metazoa, Arthropoda, Arachnida, Araneae, Eresidae. The record is from Rfam.
GCCUUCGUGGUGUAGCGGUGAACACGCUCGACGCGUGUUCGAGAGGUCCGUGGUUCGAAUCCCGUCGAAACCA